UACAUAGGGUGCGAGCGUUAAUCGGAAUUACUGGGCGUAAAGCGUGCGCAGGCGGUUCGUUGUGUCGGUGGUGAAAGCCCCGGGCUUAACCUGGGAAUGGCCAUGGAAACUGGCGAACUGGAGUGUGGCAGAGGGGGGUGGAAUUCCGCGUGUAGCAGUGAAAUGCGUAGAGAUGCGGAGGAACACCGAUGGCGAAGGCAGCCCCCUGGGCUAGCACUGACGCUCAGGCACGAAAGCGUGGGGAGCAAACAGG
Molecule: ribosomal RNA, 253 nt
Filed under: uncultured bacterium
Lineage: Bacteria
Description: partial 16S ribosomal RNA
Rfam family: Bacterial small subunit ribosomal RNA
Source: RNAcentral